AAUCGUGAGGUUGGGGCUAAAGGAAGUGUGAAACAAAAUCGUGGCCUAACGAACAGAAACUUGAUACAAAGGCUACAUAAAGGGAUAAGGCUACAAAUCAAGUCGAAGUCCGAAAGAUACCCGUAACUUUAUGUAGUAAAUCAAGUAGGUAAACGAGGAAAGUUAUG
Molecule: non-coding RNA, 167 nt
Filed under: chicken gut metagenome
Source: RNAcentral